UAGAAGAUAGUAUAAGGGAUGUACGUGGAUUUUUGAAGUCUUAAGUGUGGGUUCAAAUCCCAUUUUUCUAA
RNAcentral lists this transfer RNA (71 nucleotides) under Takydromus septentrionalis. RNAcentral describes it as "tRNA-Gln". It matches the Rfam family "tRNA". Rfam says of the family: Transfer RNA (tRNA) molecules are approximately 80 nucleotides in length. Their secondary structure includes four short double-helical elements and three loops (D, anti-codon, and T loops). Further hydrogen bonds mediate the characteristic L-shaped molecular structure. tRNAs have two regions of fundamental functional importance: the anti-codon, which is responsible for specific mRNA codon recognition, and the 3' end, to which the tRNAs corresponding amino acid is attached (by aminoacyl-tRNA synthetases). tRNAs cope with the degeneracy of the genetic code in two manners: having more than one tRNA (with a specific anti-codon) for a particular amino acid; and 'wobble' base-pairing, i.e. permitting non-standard base-pairing at the 3rd anti-codon position. The record is from RNAcentral. Lineage: Eukaryota; Metazoa; Chordata; Lepidosauria; Squamata; Lacertidae.